RNAcentral lists this ribosomal RNA (169 nucleotides) under uncultured bacterium. RNAcentral describes it as "partial 16S ribosomal RNA". It matches the Rfam family "Bacterial small subunit ribosomal RNA", at positions 338 to 524 of the family's 1533-position model. The record is from RNAcentral.
CCUACGGGAGGCAGCAGUGGGGAAUAUUGGACAAUGGGGGAAACCCUGAUCCAGCAAUGCCGCGUGAGUGAAGAAGGCCUUAGGGUUGUAAAGCUCUUUCGGCGGGGAAGAUGGUGACGGUACCCGCAGAAGAAGCCCCGGCUAACUUCGUGCCAGCAGCCGCGGUAAU